GACGAACGCUGGCGGCGGGCUUAACACAUGCAAGUCGAACGGAAAGGCCCUGCUUUUGUGUGGUGCUCGCGUGGCGAACGGGUGAGUAACACGUGAGUAACCUUCCCUUGAGUUUGGGAUAACUUGAGGAAACUGGGGCUAAUACAGGAUAGGAGCUCCUGCUGCUUGGUGGGGGUUGGAACGUUUGGGCGGAAGGGGAUGGACGCCGGGCUUAUCAGCUUGUUGGUGGGGUAGUGGCUUACCAGGGCUUUGACGGGUAGCCGGCCUGAGAGGGUGACCGGCCACAUUGGGACUGAGAUACGGCCCAGACUCCUACGGGAGGCAGCAGUGGGGAAUAUUGCACAAUGGGCGGAAGCCUGAUGCAGCAACGCCGCGUGCGGGAUGACGGCCUUCGGGUUGUAAACCGCUUUCGCCUGUGACGAAGCGUGAGUGACGGUAAUGGGUAAAGAAGCACCGGCUAACUACGUG
This 468-nucleotide ribosomal RNA is filed under the name uncultured bacterium. RNAcentral describes it as "partial 16S ribosomal RNA". It matches the Rfam family "Bacterial small subunit ribosomal RNA", at positions 28 to 507 of the family's 1533-position model. The record is from RNAcentral.